AUGUCCUCUUCUUUUAUCUUCAUUGGUUCUCCUCCUCUUUACUGUCUCACUCCUAUCCCUCAUCUCUUCAUCUCCUUCUCUUUACUGUCUCACUCCUAUCCCUCAUCUCUUCAUCUCCUUCUCUUUACUGUCUCACUCCUAUCCCUCAUCUCUUCAUCUCCUUCUCUUUACUGUCUCACUCCUAUCCCUCAUCUCUUCAUCUCCUUCUCUUCACUGUCUCACUCCUAUCCCUCAUCUCUUCAUCUCCUCCUCUUCACUGUCUCACUCCUAUCCCUCAUCUCUUCAUCUCCUUCUCUUUACUGUCUCACUCCUAUCCCUCAUCUCUUCAUCUCCUCCUCUUUACUGUCUCACUCCUAUCCCUCAUCUCUUCAUCUCCUCCUCUUCACUGUCUCACUCCUAUCCCUCAUCUCUUCAUCUCAUUCUCUUUACUGUCUCACUCCUAUCCCUCAUCUCUUCAUCUCAUUCUCUUUACUGUCUCUCUCCUAUCCCUCAUCUCCUCCUCUUCACUGUCUCACUCCUGUCCCUCAUCUCCUCCUCUUUACUGUCUCACUCCUGUCCCUCAUCUUCUCCUCUUUACUGUCUCACUCCUGUCCCUCAUCUCCUCCUCUUCACUGUCUCACUCCUGUCCCUCAUCUCCUCCUCUUCACUGUCUCACUCCUGUCCCUCAUCUCCUCCUCUUUACUGUCUCACUCCUGUCCCUCAUCUCCUCCUCUUUACUGUCUCACUCCUGUCCCUCAUCUCCUUCUCUUUACUGUCUCACUCCUAUGCCUCAUCUCUUCAUCGCCUUCUCUUUACUGUCUCACUCCUAUCCCUCAUCUCUUCAUCUCCUUCUCUUUACUGUCUCACUCCUAUCCCUCAUCUCCUCCUCUUUACUGUCUCACUCCUGUCCCUCAUCUCCUCCUCUUCACUGUCUCACUCCUAUCCCUCAUCUCCUCCUCUUUACUGUCUCACUCCUAUCCCUCAUCUCUUCAUCUCCUUCUCUUUACUGUCUCACUCCUAUCCCUCAUCUCUUCAUCUCCUUCUCUUUACUGUCUCACUCCUAUCCCUCAUCUCUUCAUCUCAUUCUCUUCACUGUCUCACUCCUAUCCCUCAUCUCUUCAUCUCCUUCUCUUUACUGUCUCACUCCAAUCCAUCAUGUCUUCAUCUCCUUCUCUUUACUGUCUCACUCCUAUCCCUCAUCUCUUCAUCUCCUUCUCUUUACUGUCUCACUCCUAUCCCUCAUCUCUUCAUCUCCUUCUCUUCACUGUCUCACUCCUAUCCCUCAUCUCUUCAUCUCCUUCUCUUUACUGUCUCACUCCUAUCCCUCAUCUCUUCAUCUCCUUCUCUUUACUGUCUCACUCCUAUCCCUCAUCUCUUCAUCUCCUUCUCUUUACUGUCUCACUCCUAUCCCUCAUCUCUUCAUCUCCUUCUCUUUACUGUCUCACUCCUAUCCCUCAUCUCUUCAUCUCCUUCUCUUUACUGUCUCACUCCUAUCCCUCAUCUCUUCAUCUCCUUCUCUUUACUGUCUCACUCCUAUCCCUCAUCUCUUCAUCUCCUUCUUUUUACUGUCUCACUCCUAUCCCUCAUCUCUUCAUCUCCUUCUCUUUACUGUCUCACUCCUGUCCCUCAUCUCCUCCUCUUUACUGUCUCACUCCUAUCCCUCAUCUCUUCAUCUCCUCAUCCUCUAGCUUAUCUCUUUACCUCUAG
This 1686-nucleotide long non-coding RNA is filed under the name Oncorhynchus mykiss (rainbow trout). RNAcentral describes it as "lncRNA (ENSOMYG00000055142.1)". Lineage: Eukaryota; Metazoa; Chordata; Actinopteri; Salmoniformes; Salmonidae. The record is from RNAcentral.